Molecule: long non-coding RNA, 776 nt
Organism: Triticum aestivum (bread wheat)
Lineage: Eukaryota; Viridiplantae; Streptophyta; Magnoliopsida; Poales; Poaceae
Exons: 2
Source: RefSeq, a predicted model, not a curated record
GCCGUGUGUGGAGGCCAUCCACCGCCUCCCCGAUGGCUACAAGGGCAACCCCAAGCUCCACCUCUCUUCCCCGGUCGAACCCUAGUCGCCACUCCUCAUCCCCAUCUUGCCUCUCUCACCCAAGAUUCAGCCGCGCGUGACGCGGUCGUCGCCGAGUUGCCGUCGUGCACAUGGCCACCGACCCUCUCCCCGCCACGCCGACGAGCCCUGGAGGACUGCCGUCGUCUACCUCACCCUCUGCGCCACCGGAUUGGAGCCGGGAGCCCCCAUCUCCGUCGCCCACAUCGUCUUUGUCUCGGGUCGUCACUGUCAGCCGUCUUCGAUCCGCUCCACCCCGAGCCUCUCCGGCAUCCCCGAGCUCGCUUUUGCACGACUACAGGGCCCCGAGAGUGAAAAAUUACAAGAGUUGGCCCCUACGUCUACGCUUAAGAACACAGUGGUAGAUCGGUGGUGCCUACUCCGCGACAGACUUCCCAUUAAUCCAAGGACCAGCCCAGAAGCAACAAGAGUUGUCGGCCCACAAUGUCUAAGAAGUCUAAUCCCUAAACAUUGGGAGAGCCUCCGCAUCAAUGAGAAGGUGCAAGUUACUCCAUUAACGGGAGGGGGCGGUGCGUUGAAGCAAGUCCAUCCCGGUUUAAGUUCUAAACUUAGUACAAAUGCUCGUAUUUUCAGAUUUAUUUUGGACUUUCCAAGGAUAUUCAUUUAAUGAGGUUGAUAUCUUGUGAGCUAUUAGGUGACUAUUGUGACUUUGUCAAUAAUAAGAUUUGCCUUCUCGA